UAGGGAAUCUUCCGCAAUGGACGCAAGUCUGACCGAGCAACGCCGCGUGAGUGAAGAAGGUUUUCGGAUCGUAAAGCUCUGUUGUUAAGGAAGAACGAGUGUGAGAAUGGAAAGUUCAUACUGUGACGGUACUUAACCAGAAAGGGACGGCUAACUACGUGCCAGCAGCCGCGGUAAUACGUAGGUCCCGAGCGUUGUCCGGAUUUAUUGGGCGUAAAGCGAGCGCAGGCGGUUAGAUAAGUCUGAAGUUAAAGGCAGUGGCUCAACCAUUGUAGGCUUUGGAAACUGUUUAACUUGAGUGCAGAAGGGGAGAGUGGAAUUCCAUGUGUAGCGGUGAAAUGCGUAGAUAUAUGGAGGAACACCGGUGGCGAAAGCGGCUCUCUGGUCUGUAACUGACGCUGAGGCUCGAAAGCGUGGGGAGCGAACAGG
This 429-nucleotide ribosomal RNA is filed under the name Bacteroidota bacterium. RNAcentral's name for it is "Bacteroidetes bacterium partial 16S ribosomal RNA". It matches the Rfam family "Bacterial small subunit ribosomal RNA", at positions 355 to 776 of the family's 1533-position model. The record is from RNAcentral. Lineage: Bacteria; Pseudomonadati; Bacteroidota.